RNAcentral lists this ribosomal RNA (489 nucleotides) under uncultured Sphingobacteriales bacterium. RNAcentral's name for it is "bacterial SSU rRNA". It matches the Rfam family "Bacterial small subunit ribosomal RNA", at positions 888 to 1382 of the family's 1533-position model. Lineage: Bacteria; Pseudomonadati; Bacteroidota; Sphingobacteriia; Sphingobacteriales. The record is from RNAcentral.
CCCGCUCAGAAACUUAAAUGAUGACGGGGGCCCGCACAAGCGGUGGAGCAUGUGGUUUAAUUCGAUGAUACGCGAGGAACCUUACCUGGGCUCAAAUGUAUGUUGACGUAUUCUGAAAGGGAUACUUCUUCGGACAAUAUACAAGGUGCUGCAUGGUUGUCGUCAGCUCGUGCCGUGAGGUGUCGGGUUAAGUCCCAUAACGAGCGCAACCCCUAUCAUUAGUUGCCAUCAGGUCAAGCUGGGGACUCUAAUGAAACUGCCUACGCAAGUAGUGAGGAAGGUGGGGAUGACGUCAAAUCAGCACGGCCCUUACGUCCAGGGCUACACACGUGCUACAAUGGCCGGUACAAAGGGCAGCUACCUGGUGACAGGAUGCUAAUCUCAAAAGCCGGUCUCAGUUCGGAUUGCAGGCUGAAACUCGCCUACAUGAAGUUGGAGUUGCUAGUAAUCGCGAAUCAGAAUGUCGCGGUGAAUGCGUUCCCGGGUCUU